CAUUUUUCACACAACUCCAGGUUGUUACUACAAGUGUCAUCAAGGGAUAACUACAAGUAGAAGCACCAUUUUUGGAUGGAAAAAACCCUUCAGGAAAGUAUACGUAUCACAUGUAACAUGUAGUGUAACAAAGUAUGAACAGUAAGGUUUUUACAUACAGUAGUACAUAUUACAUACGUACAUAACUUUUUUUUUACAGGAAUUUCCAACCAAGUUUGAUUAUGUACAUAUGUACAUGUUAUAAACCACUGUACGUAUGGUUACUGUAUGUAAACUUACUAAACAUACAUAACAUGACUUAACUUUGAUACUUUUUUGGUACAUUCCAGAAAACCAGGACCCCCUCCAUGAUGCAGGCUAUGGGGCCACAUAAAACUUUGUCCAGGGUUACUACAUAACAUAGCACGACAACUGUAAACUAUGUACUACUGUACUAAAGAACCCCCUGAAUGAUGUAGGCUAUGGGGCCACAUAAGACUUUGUGCAUCCAGGGUUACGUUGAACGACAAAUUUAAACUAAAAAGCUACCAGACUGGGAUUUUAGUGUACUCCAGGAUCUAACAAAUACUACUACGAAGUGUACAGUGCAUAAUAUAGUGUUUAGUGUAUAAUCUAACCUAAGGAUUAAGUGUAGUACAUUGUGCUUUAUAGUGUCACAAGAGUUUAAUAAAGAAUUAUACCUUCAA
Molecule: long non-coding RNA, 686 nt
Organism: Macrobrachium nipponense
Lineage: Eukaryota; Metazoa; Arthropoda; Malacostraca; Decapoda; Palaemonidae
Exons: 3
Source: RefSeq, a predicted model, not a curated record